CCCUUAGAUGUCCUGGGCUGCACGCGCGCUACACUGAUGUGUCCAGUAAGCACCUAACCUCUUCCGAAAGGAACGGGUAACCUUUGCAAAGCACAUCGUGAUGGGGAUAGAUUAUUGCCAUUAUUAGUCUUGAACGAGGAAUUCCUAGUAAGCACAAGUCAUCAGCUUGUGUUGAUUACGUCCCUGCCCUUUGUACACACCGCCCGUCGCUCCUACCGAUUGAAUGUUCCGGUGAGCUCUUCGGACUGCGCGGUCUGCAGUUUCUGCGUUCCGUGCGGAAAGUUGCGCAAACCUUAACAUUUAGAGGAAGGAGAAGUCGUAACA
This 324-nucleotide ribosomal RNA is filed under the name uncultured eukaryote. RNAcentral's name for it is "partial 18S ribosomal RNA". It matches the Rfam family "Eukaryotic small subunit ribosomal RNA", at positions 1470 to 1796 of the family's 1831-position model. The record is from RNAcentral.